RNAcentral lists this transfer RNA (62 nucleotides) under Bos taurus (domestic cattle). It matches the Rfam family "tRNA", at positions 11 to 71 of the family's 71-position model. Rfam says of the family: Transfer RNA (tRNA) molecules are approximately 80 nucleotides in length. Their secondary structure includes four short double-helical elements and three loops (D, anti-codon, and T loops). Lineage: Eukaryota; Metazoa; Chordata; Mammalia; Artiodactyla; Bovidae. The record is from Rfam by way of RNAcentral. RNAcentral also lists the same sequence under 4 other names.
CUCAGACAGUAAAGAAUCUGCCUGCAAUGCAGAAGACCCAGGUUCAAUCCCUGGGUCUGAAA